This 81-nucleotide transfer RNA is filed under the name Neolewinella agarilytica. RNAcentral's name for it is "Lewinella agarilytica tRNA_Ser_TGA". It matches the Rfam family "tRNA". From Rfam's summary of the family: Transfer RNA (tRNA) molecules are approximately 80 nucleotides in length. Their secondary structure includes four short double-helical elements and three loops (D, anti-codon, and T loops). The record is from RNAcentral. Lineage: Bacteria; Pseudomonadati; Bacteroidota; Saprospiria; Saprospirales; Lewinellaceae.
GGAGGUGGUGAGCAAUGGUGCUCAAGCGGUCUUGAAAACCGUACUAUCUAUCAGGAUAAGGGUUCGAUUCCUUCACCUCCC